RNAcentral lists this unclassified non-coding RNA (279 nucleotides) under Hevea brasiliensis (rubber tree). The record is from RNAcentral. Lineage: Eukaryota; Viridiplantae; Streptophyta; Magnoliopsida; Malpighiales; Euphorbiaceae.
GUCCUCUGCUUCCAAAUCUUUGCUUCUUCAUUGGAUCCUUCGAUUUGCAUCUGCUCCCCUCUUUUUCUCCACGCUAAGAAAACGUCCUGUCGUUUUCACCCAAAUUCUCUACCUACCCCUCUUACAGAUUCCUCUAUUUCUACCCGUUUACGUAACUAUCUCUGUUUGUAUGUGGUUGGUGACGUGAUUCUAAAGUAUUGAUUCUUUGAUAGUGAUUUAGAUCCUAUCUGCUGCUUGUAUAGUACCUCUUUCUCUUUUAAUCUUUAAUCAAAAUCCCUG